Molecule: ribosomal RNA, 506 nt
Filed under: uncultured bacterium
Lineage: Bacteria
Description: partial 16S ribosomal RNA
Rfam family: Bacterial small subunit ribosomal RNA
Source: RNAcentral
GAUGAACGCUAGCUACAGGCUUAACACAUGCAAGUCGAGGGGUAACGAGAGGAAAGCUUGCUUUCCUUGUCGACGACCGGCGCACGGGUGAGUAACGCGUAUCCAACCUGCCCCCAACUAGGGAAUAACCUUGCGAAAGUAAGACUAAUACCCUAUAAUUUCCUCAGAUGACAUCUGACGAGGAAUAAAGAUUUAUUGGUUGUGGAUGGGGAUGCGUCUGAUUAGUUUGUUGGCGGGGUAACGGCCCACCAAGGCAACGAUCAGUAGGGGUUCUGAGAGGAAGGUCCCCCACAUUGGAACUGAGACACGGUCCAAACUCCUACGGGAGGCAGCAGUGAGGAAUAUUGGUCAAUGGGCGGAAGCCUGAACCAGCCAAGUAGCGUGCAGGAUGACGGCCCUAUGGGUUGUAAACUGCUUUUAUACAGGAAUAAAGUUAGCCACGUGUGGUUAUUUGUAGGUACUGUAUGAAUAAGGACCGGCUAAUUCCGUGCCAGCCGCCGCCGUAA